Long non-coding RNA from Musa acuminata AAA Group (dessert banana), 1036 nucleotides. RefSeq lists it as uncharacterized. The transcript has 3 exons. The record is from RefSeq and is a predicted model, not a curated record. Lineage: Eukaryota; Viridiplantae; Streptophyta; Magnoliopsida; Zingiberales; Musaceae.
AAAAAAAAAUAAUAAUAAUAAUAAUAAUAUUGAUCAGGGAAGGAAGGCUGUCUUUUUAUAGACAAUCGAUGUAUAUAACUAAAAGGACACCACCAUCCCUCCUCCUCACAGCUCCUAUCAAUGCCUCCACAGAGUUCCAACAUCACUGCUUCAAGUCUCUUCUGUCUUCCCUCUUGUUUCUGAAGCUAGCUCUUAGAUAGACUUCUCAGGAUGAGGUCUUCUUCCACAGUGGCCUUCGUCCUCUUGCUACUACUGCUGCUAUCCACAGCUCACGGGAUCCACUCGGAGAGGCAAAACCACAGAGGCUCUAACCACAAACUCCCUGAAAAGAAGGUUUCCAUGACAAGAAGAGGAACCGGUGCUGCACUGAUUCCGUGCAGAGAAAAUGGGCAUUGCUCUGAUACAGAUAAUGCAGGAGGAGCCGAUCAAAGGAUACCUAGAAUUCAUGAAGAUUACUAUGGGCCUGGAGAUCACAAGUCUAAGCAUCAUUAGAUUUUUCCUCCACGUUUUCCCCCUUUUUUUCUUUUCCUUUUUCUUUUUUUGGAGGGGUAGCUGCUGAGGACUAACUACAAAAGAGAUUUUUUGUAUUACUUUUGACACAUUUUAAGUUAAAUCUAGAUCUGCUCAACUUCUCUCAGAUGAAAGCUUCUAUUUUUUUUCUCUCUCUUGUCUUGUAAAGAUCCAUGAUAAGCCAAACAGCAGAUGAAAAUUUCUUGGAGUUACUCUCACAUACAUAAUCAACAUAAUAAUAUGCAGGUUUGAUCACAAAACAACAGCUAGAAACCUUCUCUUCCUCGAUGAUGCCUGUCACAGAAGGCACAAGACAAGCUUUAACUGAGUGGGACAUGGAGAUCAAGUAGACAUAGAUGGAACUGUGGAAAGUCUCCGGCAAAAGAGCAACAUUAGUCAAAGAUAAUUACUCAGAGAAAGCAGGACUGAGACUCUCUCUCCAUCGACUGCACACAUUACACAUGCACAGCAUGAACAAGUUUAAGACAGGGUUGCAGGAAAUGCUCCAGGUUUCUAGCUUCGCACA